This 333-nucleotide long non-coding RNA is filed under the name Mytilus galloprovincialis (Mediterranean mussel). The record is from RNAcentral. Lineage: Eukaryota; Metazoa; Mollusca; Bivalvia; Mytilida; Mytilidae.
CGAAACUUUAGUGAAUUGUUUAUAUCUAUUAAUGUAAGCUCCCUUUCAAUUUUUAUAAAUUUCAGAUUUUACAUUUCCGUGUUAUGAAUUUUUAUGCUGAAAAAAGGGGGAUUUUUCCAAUUUUGGGACAAUAACUAACACUUUCACAAAAUUUUAUAUAUGGAUGAAAAAUUAAGAAAACAAACUCAGUUAAAUUUGAGGUAGCCUUAAUAGUGCCAAUUUUUUUGUGCAUUUUUAUUUAUUAUUUUUGGGGGGGGUAUUUGACAGGGCUCACACUAUUUCUAGUUGAUCAUAUAAAUUCAUUUAAAGCAUAAAAGACAAGUUAAAAGAGCA